RNAcentral lists this ribosomal RNA (459 nucleotides) under uncultured bacterium. RNAcentral describes it as "partial 16S ribosomal RNA". It matches the Rfam family "Bacterial small subunit ribosomal RNA", at positions 29 to 523 of the family's 1533-position model. The record is from RNAcentral.
AACGAACGCUGGCGGCAGGCCUAACACAUGCAAGUCGAACGAGAAGCCACCUUCGGGUGGUGGAAAGUGGCAGACGGGUGAGUAACACGUGGGAACGUGCCCUUUGGUUCGGAACAACUCUGGGAAACUGGAGCUAAUACCGGAUAAGCCCUACGGGGGAAAGAUUUAUCGCCGAAGGAUCGGCCCGCGUCUGAUUAGCCUGUUGGUGAGGUAAUGGCUCACCAAGGCGACGAUCAGUAGCUGGUCUGAGAGGAUGAUCAGCCACACUGGGACUGAGACACGGCCCAGACUCCUACGGGAGGCAGCAGUGGGGAAUAUUGGACAAUGGGCGCAAGCCUGAUCCAGCCAUGCCGCGUGAGUGAUGACGGCCUUAGGGUUGUAAAGCUCUUUCGCCAGGGACGAUAAUGACGGUACCUGGAUAAGAAGCCCCGGCUAACUUCGUGCCAGCAGCCGCCGUAA